Molecule: long non-coding RNA, 803 nt
Organism: Plodia interpunctella (Indianmeal moth)
Lineage: Eukaryota; Metazoa; Arthropoda; Insecta; Lepidoptera; Pyralidae
Exons: 3
Source: RefSeq, a predicted model, not a curated record
CCUACCUAGUUAAUAUUUUACAAUGUCACGUCAGACUAGUUACAAAAGAAACGCCUUCUCGAAAGGAUUUGUGUAAGUGACAUCGGUGAAAUCAUAUUUAUUCAAGCAAAGUUUGGACAAAGUUCCAGUUCUGAAGGGAUCAGUUGGGUCGACAGGGGCCAUUUGUCAUUCGACACGCGAUACUUUAAUCGACUCGAAACAUCGAAAGCUGUGUCGAAAGGAUCGGUAAUUGGUGCAUAGAACCAUCGACGGCGGGAACGAGUUUGCGAUAAGUGCGCACAUUCGCAUCCUCUUGCAAAAUUCCAGACGUCGUUGCAACGUGCACUAACAGACCUCGGCAGAGAUGUGGCGCUUUUAUUUUCAAGUGGCACUAACAAGAUCAGGAAAACUUUCUCAUGAUUAGGUACUCAUAUUUUAUGAAGAGAGUAACGUUAUUUGAGAAGCUACUUUGAAUAUGGAAACUAGAAAUACAUUGUGUUUAUAUAGUAUAUGGAUACUAGAAAUACACUGUCCAAGAAGACAAUAAUGUUUUGAGUUUCAAAAUUAUUUUGAAAUAUUAAAACACUUAAUCGAAGUAAAGCUGUAACUGAGUGGUACCCCAGAAAUGGAAAACGGUCGACGAUGUAAAGGAAAUUGUGGCAACAACUGGAUGGGGAUGGCCCAGGACAGAAAUGGUUGGCGGAGACGGAUGGAGGGCUAUGCUCAGCAGUGGGUCACGGAGGGCUGCAGAUGAUGAUGAUGACAAAACAAAUGUAAUUAUCAUAUAAUAAAUAAUUACUCAAAUAAACAAUUUUUUUCUAUUA